Molecule: ribosomal RNA, 253 nt
Filed under: uncultured bacterium
Lineage: Bacteria
Description: partial 16S ribosomal RNA
Rfam family: Bacterial small subunit ribosomal RNA
Source: RNAcentral
UACGUAGGCAGCGAGCGUUGUUCGGAGUUACUGGGCGUAAAGGGUGUGUAAGCGGUUUGGUAAGUCUGGUGUGAAAUCUCCCGGCUCAACUGGGAGGGUGCGCCGGAAACUGCCGGACUAGAGUGCGGGAGAGGAGAGUGGAAUUCCUGGUGUAGCGGUGAAAUGCGUAGAUAUCAGGAGGAACACCUGCGGUGUAGACGGCUUUCUGGACCAUUGCUGACGCUGAGACACGAAAGCGUGGGUAGCAAACAGG